This 327-nucleotide ribosomal RNA is filed under the name uncultured eukaryote. Its description in RNAcentral is "partial 18S ribosomal RNA". It matches the Rfam family "Eukaryotic small subunit ribosomal RNA", at positions 1470 to 1796 of the family's 1831-position model. The record is from RNAcentral.
CCCUUAGAUGUUCUGGGCCGCACGCGCGCUACACUGACGAAUGCAACGAGCUUAUAACCUUGGCCGAAAGGUCUGGGUAAUCUCCAAAUUUCGUCGUGAUGGGGAUAGAUUAUUGCAAUUAUUAAUCUUCAACGAGGAAUGCCUAGUAAGCGCAAGUCAUCAGCUUGCGUUGAUUACGUCCCUGCCCUUUGUACACACCGCCCGUCGCUCCUACCGAUCGAAUGGUCCGGUGAAGCGUUCGGACCGUGGCCUUUGGACGGUUCGCCGUCUGUUGGCUGCGGGAAGUUCGUUAAACCUUAUCAUUUAGAGGAAGGAGAAGUCGUAACA